RNAcentral lists this ribosomal RNA (506 nucleotides) under uncultured bacterium. RNAcentral describes it as "partial 16S ribosomal RNA". It matches the Rfam family "Bacterial small subunit ribosomal RNA", at positions 28 to 523 of the family's 1533-position model. The record is from RNAcentral.
GACGAACGCUAGCUACAGGCUUAACGCACGCAAGUCGAGGGGUAACGAGAGGAAAGCUUGCUUUCCUUGUCGACGACCGGCGCACGGGUGAGUAACGCGUAUCCAACCUGCCCCCAACUAGGGAAUAACCUUGCGAAAGUAAGACUAAUACCCUAUAAUUUCCUCAGAUGACAUCUGACGAGGAAUAAAGAUUUAUCGGUUGUGGAUGGGGAUGCGUCUGAUUAGCUUGUUGGCGGGGUAACGGCCCACCAAGGCAACGAUCAGUAGGGGUUCUGAGAGGAAGGUCCCCCACAUUGGAACUGAGACACGGUCCAAACUCCUACGGGAGGCAGCAGUGAGGAAUAUUGGUCAAUGGGCGGAGGCCUGAACCAGCCAAGUAGCGUGCAGGAUGACGGCCCUAUGGGUUGUAAACUGCUUUUAUACAGGAAUAAAGUUAGCCACGUGUGGUUAUUUGUAGGUACUGUAUGAAUAAGGACCGGCUAAUUCCGUGCCAGCCGCCGCCGUAA